AAGCCUGUAACUCAGUUUGGCAGAGUGUCACCCUUACAAGGUGGAUGUCAGGGGUUCGAAUCCCUCAGGCUUA
RNAcentral lists this transfer RNA (73 nucleotides) under Methanobrevibacter millerae. RNAcentral describes it as "tRNA_Val_TAC". It matches the Rfam family "tRNA". Rfam says of the family: Transfer RNA (tRNA) molecules are approximately 80 nucleotides in length. Their secondary structure includes four short double-helical elements and three loops (D, anti-codon, and T loops). Further hydrogen bonds mediate the characteristic L-shaped molecular structure. tRNAs have two regions of fundamental functional importance: the anti-codon, which is responsible for specific mRNA codon recognition, and the 3' end, to which the tRNAs corresponding amino acid is attached (by aminoacyl-tRNA synthetases). tRNAs cope with the degeneracy of the genetic code in two manners: having more than one tRNA (with a specific anti-codon) for a particular amino acid; and 'wobble' base-pairing, i.e. permitting non-standard base-pairing at the 3rd anti-codon position. Lineage: Archaea; Methanobacteriati; Methanobacteriota; Methanobacteria; Methanobacteriales; Methanobacteriaceae. The record is from RNAcentral.